This 468-nucleotide ribosomal RNA is filed under the name uncultured bacterium. RNAcentral describes it as "partial 16S ribosomal RNA". It matches the Rfam family "Bacterial small subunit ribosomal RNA", at positions 28 to 507 of the family's 1533-position model. The record is from RNAcentral.
GACGAACGCUGGCGGCGUGCUUAACACAUGCAAGUCGAACGGAAAGGCCCUGCUUUUGUGGGGUGCUCGAGUGGCGAACGGGUGAGUAACACGUGAGUAACCUGUCCUUGACUUUGGGAUAACUUCAGGAAACUGGGGCUAAUCCCGGAUAGGAGCUCCUGCUGCAUGGUGGGGGUUGGAAAGUUUCGGCGGUUGGGGAUGGACUCGCGGCUCAUCAGCUUGUUGGUGGGGUAGUGGCUUACCAAGGCUUUGACGGGUAGCCGGGCUGGGAGGGUGACCGGCCAAAUUGGGACGGAGAUACGGCCCAGACUCCUACGGGAGGCAGCAGUGCGGAAUAUUGCACAAUGGGCGGAAGCCUGAUGCAGCAACGCCGCGUGCGGGAUGACGGCCAGCGGUUUGUAAACCACUUUCGCCUGUGACGAAGCGUGAGUGACGGUAAUGGGUAAAGAAGCACCGGCUAACUACGUG